RNAcentral lists this ribosomal RNA (684 nucleotides) under uncultured bacterium. RNAcentral describes it as "bacterial SSU rRNA". It matches the Rfam family "Bacterial small subunit ribosomal RNA", at positions 62 to 777 of the family's 1533-position model. The record is from RNAcentral.
UCGAAUGUAGCAAUACAUGGGCGGACGGGUGAGUAACGCGUGAGCAAUCUGCCCAUAUCUGGGGGAUAACAGUUGGAAACGACUGAUAAUACCGCAUAACAUGGUUUGAAGGCAUCUUCUUACCAUCAAAGAUUUAUCGGAUAUGGAUGAGCUCGCGUCUGAUUAGCUUGUUGGUGAGGUAACGGCUCACCAAGGCGACGAUCAGUAGCCGGCCUGAGAGGGUGAUCGGCCACAUUGGAACUGAGACACGGUCCAAACUCCUACGGGAGGCAGCAGUGGGGAAUAUUGGGCAAUGGAGGAAACUCUGACCCAGCAACGCCGCGUGAAUGAUGAAGGUCUUCGGAUUGUAAAGUUCUUUUCUAAGGGAAGAAGAAAGUGACGGUACCUUAGGAAUAAGCCUCGGCUAACUACGUGCCAGCAGCCGCGGUAAUACGUAGGAGGCAAGCGUUAUCCGGAAUGACUGGGCGUAAAGGGUGCGUAGGUGGUUUGGCAAGUUGGUAGCGUAAUUCCGAGGCUCAACCUCGGCGCUACUACCAAAACUGUCGAACUUGAGUGCAGGAGGGGCAACUGGAAUUCCUAGUGUAGCGGUGGAAUGCGUAGAUAUUAGGAGGAACACCAGUGGCGAAGGCGAGUUGCUGGACUGUAACUGACACUGAGGCACGAAAGCGUGGGGAGCAAACAGGA